UACGUAGGGGGGCAAGCGUUUGUCCGGAUUUAUUGGGGCGUAAAGAGCGUGUAGGCGGUUUGGUAGGUCCGCUGUGAAAUCCCUCGGCUCAACCAAGGAAGUGCAUUCGAAACCGCAAGGCUCGAGUCCCGGAGAGGAUGGUGGAAUUCUCGGUGUAGAGGUGAAAUUCGUAGAUAUCGAGAGGAACACCGGCGGCGAAGGCGGCCAUCUAGACGAGGACUGACGCUGAGAUGCGAAAGCGUGGGGAGCAAACAGG
This 256-nucleotide ribosomal RNA is filed under the name uncultured bacterium. RNAcentral describes it as "partial 16S ribosomal RNA". It matches the Rfam family "Bacterial small subunit ribosomal RNA", at positions 524 to 776 of the family's 1533-position model. The record is from RNAcentral.